Molecule: ribosomal RNA, 284 nt
Filed under: Leyella stercorea DSM 18206
Lineage: Bacteria; Pseudomonadati; Bacteroidota; Bacteroidia; Bacteroidales; Prevotellaceae
Description: Prevotella stercorea DSM 18206 partial 16S ribosomal RNA
Rfam family: Bacterial small subunit ribosomal RNA
Source: RNAcentral
UCUUUUCCUUUUGUGCCCGCCGCCGCGGUAAUACGGAAGGUCCGGGCGUUAUCCGGAUUUAUUGGGUUUAAAGGGAGCGUAGGCCGGAGAUUAAGCGUGUUGUGAAAUGUCGGGGCUCAACCUGGGCAUUGCAGCGCGAACUGUCAGACUUGAGUGCGCGGGAAGUAGGCGGAAUUCGUCGUGUAGCGGUGAAAUGCUUAGAUAUGACGAAGAACUCCGAUUGCGAAGGCAGCCUGCUGUAGCGCAACUGACGCUGAAGCUCGAAAGCGUGGGUAUCGAACAGG